RNAcentral lists this ribosomal RNA (468 nucleotides) under uncultured bacterium. RNAcentral describes it as "partial 16S ribosomal RNA". It matches the Rfam family "Bacterial small subunit ribosomal RNA", at positions 28 to 507 of the family's 1533-position model. The record is from RNAcentral.
GACGAACGCUGGCGGCGUGCUUAACACAUGCAAGUCGAACGGAAAGGCCCUGCUUUUGUGGGGUGCUCGAGUGGCGAACGGGUGAGUAACACGUGAGUAACCUGCCCUUGACUUUGGGAUAACUUCAAGAAACUGGGGCUAAUACCGGAUAUGAGCUCCUGCUGCAUGGUGGGGUUUGGAAAGUUUCGGCGGUUGGGGAUGGACUCGCGGCUUAUCAGCCUGUUUGUGGGGUAGUGGCUUACCUAGGCUUUGACGGGUAGCCGGCCUGAGAGGGUGACCGGCCACAUUGGGACUGAGCUACGGCCAAGAAGCCUACGGGAGGCAGCAGUGGGGAAUAGUGCACAAUGGGCGGAAGCCUGAGGCAGCAACGCCGGGUGCGGGAUGGCGGCCUUCGGGUUGUAAACCGCUUUCGGCUGUGACGAAGCGUGAGUGACGGUAAUGGGUAAAGAAGCACCGGCUAACUACGUG